GGGGGCGUAAAGGUUUCGACGGGGAUUAUGCACUAUGGUAAGCGGGUAGAGCGGGCGGAGGCUCUAUAAAAGCCGCACAAAACAAUAAAUGCGAAAACUUCUAAGACCAACAACUACUCCUUCGGAGGGUUGUGCGCAGCCUAACUUAGGCUGUCCGUAUGCCGCCUGACGACCACUGGCUGGCGGUAUGCGUCAUUUUAAGUGGUGAACGUCCGGCCGGGUAGCCUUGACGGCCGGAUGUACAAAAGGCUACCAAAGCCGUAAGCCUGCCGUUCGGCGUACGGCCAAGGGAAUUUCAAAAGAACCGGCUACACCCGUAGAAAGCCAUGGGAAUUGAUUUUCGGACGUGGGUUCGACUCCCACCGCCUCCACCA
Molecule: transfer-messenger RNA, 374 nt
Filed under: Oscillospiraceae
Lineage: Bacteria; Bacillati; Bacillota; Clostridia; Eubacteriales
Also listed under: 3 other names
Description: UBA866 sp022791945 Standard tmRNA
Rfam family: transfer-messenger RNA
About the family: Bacterial tmRNA, also known as 10Sa RNA or SsrA, is named for its dual tRNA and mRNA-like properties. Its role is to liberate the mRNA from a stalled ribosome.
Source: RNAcentral